UACGUAGGGGGCAAGCGUUGUCCGGAUUUACUGGGCGUAAAGAGCGUGUAGGCGGCCAGGUAGGUCAGCUGUGAAAACUCGAGGCUCAACCUCGAGACGCCGGUUGAAACCAUCUGGCUAGAGUCCGGAAGAGGAGAGUGGAAUUCCUGGUGUAGCGGUGAAAUGCGCAGAUAUCAGGAAGAACACCCGUGGCUAAGGCGGCUCUCUAGUACGGUACUGACGCUGAGACGCGAAAGCGUGGGGAGCGAACAGG
This 253-nucleotide ribosomal RNA is filed under the name uncultured bacterium. RNAcentral's name for it is "partial 16S ribosomal RNA". It matches the Rfam family "Bacterial small subunit ribosomal RNA", at positions 524 to 776 of the family's 1533-position model. The record is from RNAcentral.